This is an RNA transcript of Gossypium arboreum, 878 nucleotides long. It is a transcript of the gene named protein ABA AND ROS SENSITIVE 1-like, with no coding region annotated. The record is from RefSeq and is a predicted model, not a curated record. Lineage: Eukaryota; Viridiplantae; Streptophyta; Magnoliopsida; Malvales; Malvaceae. The transcript is spliced from 4 exons.
AAACAUAACCUUGACUAAUUCUGUUUCCUGAUCAGAGAUGAGUACAAGGAAUUUGAAAAGUUGAUUCAAGAAGAUCUGCAAGAGGUGGACAAUCGUAUGGAAGAAGAGGAGAUUGAUGCAGCUGAAAUGAUUGAAGAGGCUGAAUCUUUGGAGCAAAAGGUUUACAAGCAGAAAGUGGAAACAUUGUGGAAGAGGAAACUGGAAUUGGAGACCUCUAGAUCAAAUAAGCGUCAGAGGGGGAAGGAAACUGAUAGACAGGAAUCUAACAGUGAAGAGUCAACUAGUGACAGUGAGAGUGACAGUGAUGAGAACUUUGCAGUUGAUUGGAGAGCUCAACACCUAUGAAAUCUACUGCAAGUACGGAGUUUGUCCUCCUUGCAACUGUGCAUUUUAAUGAGAAGUCUCUUACUAAAAAGGAAAAGUAAUAAAAAGGGAAAAAAUUGGAACGCUGUUUCAAGUUCUAAAAAUUUGGUUUUAGACAUCUGAAAGAAAUCUGCCACAAACUAUAUUAAGAGUGAGAUGAAGAGCCAAGAUCCAAAUACACACUAUCCAGGUUUAUAUGAUGCAAAACAAUUGAACCUUGGUCUAUUCAGCUGAAUUAUAACCUUUCACAGGAGUGAUGCAUACAAGAUGGCUGAUUAGGUUGUGAAAAGUUAUUAUCGACUUUGUUCACUUGUGAUCUUGGUUUACAGGUUCAUAGGUUGGAGAAUUUGUAUUGUGAAACACGGUUUUGUGAGGAGUAUUGUAAUUUUGUCGCAGGCUUUAUUAAUAUAGAUGUAAUGUAAUUCAGCUGAUUCAAAUUUGAACUGGUUUUGCGUCUUCCUUCUGAUUCUGUUGGCAAUAAUAGAUGGUCCCGUUUACCUCCUUUUUAAAUAGAA